GAGGAGGAGGAGGAGGAAGCCGCGGCGCAGGCCAGCGAAAGUGUGGGGAAUUCAGAGCGUCGCAGGCGGAGUAAAACAAACUUCGGCACCCCAUGGCUAUUUGUGCAUGCAGAAAUGCAUACAAUUUUACUCAUUUGAAUUUAUUAGCCACCCAGUUUCAAUGAACUCCAAGUAUUAAUCAUCAGUUGUUACUUGUGAGAACUAGAAGACAUGAGAUAGAAAAUGUCUGAACAUCUGGACUUCAUCAAACUGCCGAACUUUAAGAACUAUCUAAAGACCCAUUUAUUUGUCCUACUAUUUCCUUAAAAGAAUUGUUUUGCUUUUCCUAGGAUUUCACAUUGUUGAGCAUAUUAUUUUGGAAGAACUUUCUAACUUAUUGGUGUUGCAAUGUUGGCUUUAUUUUGUGUGAGAUGUGUUUUGUGACUUUUGCAAA
Ahaetulla prasina is the source of this 433-nucleotide long non-coding RNA. RefSeq lists it as uncharacterized. The transcript has 3 exons. Lineage: Eukaryota; Metazoa; Chordata; Lepidosauria; Squamata; Colubridae. The record is from RefSeq and is a predicted model, not a curated record.